This 370-nucleotide ribosomal RNA is filed under the name uncultured organism. RNAcentral's name for it is "bacterial SSU rRNA". It matches the Rfam family "Bacterial small subunit ribosomal RNA", at positions 526 to 896 of the family's 1533-position model. The record is from RNAcentral.
CGUAGGGUGCGAGCGUUAAUCGGAAUUACUGGGCGUAAAGCGUGCGCAGGCGGUUUUGUAAGACAGAUGUGAAAUCCCCGGGCUCAACCUGGGACCUGCAUUUGUGACUGCAAGGCUAGAGUACGGUAGAGGGGGAUGGAAUUCCGCGUGUAGCAGUGAAAUGCGUAGAUAUGCGGAGGAACACCGAUGGCGAAGGCAAUCCCCUGGACCUGUACUGACGCUCAUGCACGAAAGCGUGGGGAGCAAACAGGAUUAGAUACCCUGGUAGUCCACGCCCUAAACGACGUCAACUGGUUAUUGGGUCUUUACUGACUCAGUAACGAAGCUAACGCGUGAAGUUGACCGCCUGGGGAGUACGGCCGCAAGGUUG